GCUAACUAGGGGCCAAGGGCCGCGUGAAAACGGAGGGGGCAAGGGGUAUCGGGAAUCACUGGGCGUAAAGCGUGCGUAGGUGGCGCGUUAAGUGAGAGGUUAAAUCGUGUGGCUCAACCAUGUCGAUGCGUCUCAUACUGGCGUGCGAGAGGACAGCAGAGGCAAGUGGAAUUGGUAGUGUAGCAGUGAAAGGCGUAGAUAUUACCAGGAACACCAAUGGCGAAGGCAGCUUGCUGGGCUACUCCUGACACUGAGGUACGAAAGCGUGGGGAGCGAACAGGAUUAGAUACCCUAGUAGUC
This 300-nucleotide ribosomal RNA is filed under the name uncultured Pyrobaculum sp. RNAcentral describes it as "bacterial SSU rRNA". It matches the Rfam family "Bacterial small subunit ribosomal RNA", at positions 496 to 795 of the family's 1533-position model. The record is from RNAcentral. Lineage: Archaea; Thermoproteati; Thermoproteota; Thermoprotei; Thermoproteales; Thermoproteaceae.